GCUGACAGAAUGCUUACACAUGCAAUCUACUGAUCCUUCGGGUGAAGGUGGCGGACGGGUGAGUAACGCGUAAAGAACUUGCCUUACAGACUGGGACAACAUUUGGAAACGAAUGCUAAUACCGGAUAUUAUGAUUGGGUCGCAUGAUCUGAUUAUGAAAGCUAUAUGCGCUGUGAGAGAGCUUUGCGUCCCAUUAGUUAGUUGGGGAGGUAACGGCUCACCAAGACGAUGAUGGGUAGCCGGCCUGAGAGGGUGAACGGCCACAAGGGGACUGAGACACGGCCCUUACUCCUACGGGAGGCAGCAGUGGGGAAUAUUGGACAAUGGACCAAAAGUCUGAUCCAGCAAUUCUGUGUGCACGAAGAAGUUUUUCGGAAUGUAAAGUGCUUUCAGUUGGGAAGAAGUCAGUGACGGUACCAACAGAAGAAGCGACGGCUAAAUACGUGCCAGCAGCCGCGGUAAUACGUAUGUCGCAAGCGUUAUCCGGAUUUAUUGGGCGUAAAGCGCGUCUAGGCGGCUUAGUAAGUCUGAUGUGAAAAUGCGGGGCUCAACCCCGUAUUGCGUUGGAAACUGCUAAACUAGAGUACUGGAGAGGUAGGCGGAACUACAAGUGUAGAGGUGAAAUUCGUAGAUAUUUGUAGGAAUGCCGAUGGGGAAGCCAGCCUACUGGACAGAUAC
This 678-nucleotide ribosomal RNA is filed under the name uncultured Fusobacteriota bacterium. RNAcentral describes it as "bacterial SSU rRNA". It matches the Rfam family "Bacterial small subunit ribosomal RNA", at positions 35 to 740 of the family's 1533-position model. Lineage: Bacteria; Fusobacteriati; Fusobacteriota. The record is from RNAcentral.